GAUGAACGCUAGCGGCAGGCCUAACACAUGCAAGUCGAGGGGUAGCAGGAUUAAGCUUGCUUAAUUGCCGACGACCGGCGCACGGGUGCGUAACGCGUAUGCAACCUACCUUAUACUGGGGUAUAGCCCGGAGAAAUUCGGAUUAAUCCCCCAUAGUACUAAUGAAUCGCAUGGUUUAUUAGUUAAAGCAUUGCGGUAUAAGAUGGGCAUGCGUCCUAUUAGCUAGAUGGUGAGGUAACGGCUCACCAUGGCUACGAUAGGUAGGGGGCCUGCGACGGUUGUCCCCCACACUGGUACUGAGACACGGACCAGACUCCUCCGGGAGGCAGCAGUGAGGAAUAUUGGUCAAUGGGCGCAAGCCUGAACCAGCCAUGCCGCGUGCAGGAAGAAUGCCCUAUGGGUUGUAAACUGCUUUUAUUUGGGAAUAAACCUCUUUACGUGUAGAGAGCUGAAGGUACCAAAUGAAUAAGCACCGGCUAACUCCGUGCCAGCCGCCGCAGUAA
RNAcentral lists this ribosomal RNA (503 nucleotides) under uncultured bacterium. RNAcentral's name for it is "partial 16S ribosomal RNA". It matches the Rfam family "Bacterial small subunit ribosomal RNA", at positions 28 to 523 of the family's 1533-position model. The record is from RNAcentral.